AUUGAACGCUGGCGGCAUGCCUUACACAUGCAAGUCGAACGGUAACGGGCCUUCGGGUGCCGACGAGUGGCGAACGGGUGAGUAAUGCAUCGGAACGUACCUUUCAGUGGGGGAUAACGUAGCGAAAGUUACGCUAAUACCGCAUAUUCUGUGAGCAGGAAAGCAGGGGAUCGCAAGACCUUGGCGCUGAUUGAGCGGCCGAUGUCAGAUUAGCUAGUUGGUGAGGUAAAAGGCUCACCAAGGCGACGAUCUGUAGCGGGUCUGAGAGGAUGAUCCGCCACACUGGAACUGAGACACGGUCCAGACUCCUACGGGAGGCAGCAGUGGGGGAAUUUUUGGACAAAUGGGGGGCGAACCCUGAUCCAGCCAUGCCGCGUGAGUGAAGAAGGCCU
This 392-nucleotide ribosomal RNA is filed under the name uncultured bacterium. RNAcentral describes it as "bacterial SSU rRNA". It matches the Rfam family "Bacterial small subunit ribosomal RNA", at positions 30 to 417 of the family's 1533-position model. The record is from RNAcentral.